GCUGAGUGUGGUGGUGCAUGCCUGUAGUCCCAGCUACUUGGGAGGCUGAGGUGGGAGAAUCACUUGAGCCCAGGAGGUUGAGGCUGCAGUGAGUCAUGAUCAUGCCACUGCACUCCAGCCUGGGUGACAGAGUGAGACCCUGUCUCAA
This 148-nucleotide non-coding RNA is filed under the name Chlorocebus sabaeus (green monkey). Lineage: Eukaryota; Metazoa; Chordata; Mammalia; Primates; Cercopithecidae. The record is from Rfam by way of RNAcentral.